AGUGAACGCUGGCGGUAGGCCUAACACAUGCAAGUCGAACGGCAGCACAGUAAGAGCUUGCUCUUACGGGUGGCGAGUGGCGGACGGGUGAGGAAUACAUCGGAAUCUACUUUUUCGUGGGGGAUAACGUAGGGAAACUUACGCUAAUACCGCAUACGACCUACGGGUGAAAGCAGUGGAUCUUCGGACCUUGCGCGAUUGAAUGAGCCGCUGUCGGAUUAGCUAGUUGGCGGGGUAAAGGCCCACCAAGGCGGCGAUCCGUAGCUGGUCUGAGAGGAUGAUCAGCCACACUGGAACUGAGACACGGUCCAGACUCCUACGGGAGGCAGCAGUGGGGAAUAUUGGACAAAGGGCGCAAGCCUGAUCCAGCCAUACCGCGUGGGUGAAGAAGGCCUUCGGGUUGUAAAGCCCUUUUGUUGGGAAAGAAAAGCAGCAGGUUAAUACCCCGCUGUUCUGACGGUACCCAAAGAAUAAGCACCGGCUAACUUCGUG
Molecule: ribosomal RNA, 492 nt
Filed under: uncultured bacterium
Lineage: Bacteria
Description: partial 16S ribosomal RNA
Rfam family: Bacterial small subunit ribosomal RNA
Source: RNAcentral